This 497-nucleotide ribosomal RNA is filed under the name uncultured bacterium. RNAcentral's name for it is "partial 16S ribosomal RNA". It matches the Rfam family "Bacterial small subunit ribosomal RNA", at positions 28 to 507 of the family's 1533-position model. The record is from RNAcentral.
GAUGAACGCUGGCGGCGUGCCUAAUACAUGCAAGUCGAGCGAACGGACGAGAAGCUUGCUUUUCUGAUGUUAGCGGCGGACGGGUGAGCAACACGUGGAUAACCUACCUAUAAGACUGGGAUAACUUCGGGAAACCGGAGCUAAUACCGGAUAAUAUUUUGAACCGCAUGGUUCAAAAGUGAAAGACGGUCUUGCUGUCACUUAUAGAUGGAUCCGCGCUGGAUUAGCUAGUUGGUAAGGUAACGGCUUACCAAGGCAACGAUGCAUGGCCGACCUGAGAGGGUGAUCGGCCACACUGGAACUGAGACACGGUCCAGACUCCUACGGGAGGCAGCAGUGGGGAAUCUUCCGCAAUGGGCGAAAGCCUGACGGAGCAACGCCGCGUGAGUGAUGAAGGUCUUCGGAUCGUAAAACUCUGUUAUUAGGGAAGAACAUAUGUGUAAGUAACUGUGGACAUCUUGACGGUACCUAAUGAGAAAGCAACGGCUAACUUCGUG